Molecule: ribosomal RNA, 253 nt
Filed under: uncultured bacterium
Lineage: Bacteria
Description: partial 16S ribosomal RNA
Rfam family: Bacterial small subunit ribosomal RNA
Source: RNAcentral
UACGUAGGUGACAAGCGUUGUCCGGAUUUACUGGGCGUAAAGAGCGCGCAGGCGGUCGUUCAAGUCGAGUGUGAAAGCCCCCGGCUCAACUGGGGAGGGUCAUUCGAUACUGAUCGACUCGAAGGCAGGAGAGGGUAGUGGAAUUCCCGGUGUAGUGGUGAAAUGCGUAGAUAUCAGGAGGAACACCGGUGGCGAAGGCGGGACUCUGGACAGUUCCUGACACUGAGGCACGAAGGCCAGGGGAGCAAACGGG